Molecule: ribosomal RNA, 497 nt
Filed under: uncultured bacterium
Lineage: Bacteria
Description: partial 16S ribosomal RNA
Rfam family: Bacterial small subunit ribosomal RNA
Source: RNAcentral
GAUGAACGCUGGCGGCGUGCCUAAUACAUGCAAGUCGAGCGAACAGACGAGGAGCUUGCUCCUCUGACGUUAGCGGCGGACGGGUGAGUAACACGUGGAUAACCUACCUAUAAGACUGGGAUAACUUCGGGAAACCGGAGCUAAUACCGGAUAAUAUAUUGAACCGCAUGGUUCACUAGUGAAAGACGGUUUUGCUGUCACUUAUAGAUGGAUCCGCGCCGCAUUCGCUAGUUGGUAAGGUAACGGCUUACCAAGGCAACGAUGCGUAGCCGACCUGAGAGGGUGAUCGGCCACACUGGAACUGAGACACGGUCCAGACUCCUACGGGAGGCAGCAGUAGGGAAUCUUCCGCAAUGGGCGAAAGCCUGACGGAGCAACGCCGCGUGAGUGAUGAAGGUCUUCGGAUCGUAAAACUCUGUUAUUAGGGAAGAACAAAUGUGUAAGUAACUAUGCACGUCUUGACGGUACCUAAUCAGAAAGCCACGGCUAACUACGUG